CCAUGUGAGUCAUUGUAGCAAUACAAGGCAGACGGCUCAGUAACACGUAGUCAAUCUACCCUAUGGACGGGGAUAACCUCGGGAAACUGAGGAUAAUCCCCGAUAGAUCAUUAUGCCUGGAACGGUUUAUGGUCCAAAUGAUUCGUCGCCGUAGGAUGGGACUGCGGCCUAUCAGUUUGUUGGUGAGGUAAUGGCCCACCAAGGCUAUUACAGGUACGGGCUCUGAGAGGAGAAGCCCGGAGAUGGGUACUGAGACACGGACCCAGGCCCUAUGGGGCGCAGCAGGCGAGAAACCUUUGCAAUGUGCGAAAGCACGACAAGGUUAAUCCGAGUGUUUCCUGCUAAAGGAAUCUUUUGUUAGUCCUAAAACCACUAUUGAAUAAGGGGUGGGCAAGUUCUGGUGUCAGCCGCCGCGGUAAAACCAGCACCUCAAGUGGUCAGGAUGAUUAUUGGGCCUAAAGCAUCCGUAGCCGGUUCUGUAAGUUUCCGGUUAAAUCCAUUAGCUCAACUAAUGGGCUGCCGGAAAUACUGCAGAGCUAGGGAGUGGGAGAGGUAGACGGUACUCGGUAGGAAGGGGUAAAAUCCUUUGAUCUAUUGAUGACCACCUGUGGCGAAGGCGGUCUACCAGAACACGUUCGACGGUGAGGGAUGAAAGCUGGGGGAGCAAACCGGAUUAGAUACCCGGGUAGUCCCAGCUGUAAACUAUGCAAACUCGGUGAUGCC
RNAcentral lists this ribosomal RNA (723 nucleotides) under crenarchaeote enrichment clone CULT1196b. RNAcentral's name for it is "bacterial SSU rRNA". It matches the Rfam family "Archaeal small subunit ribosomal RNA", at positions 49 to 778 of the family's 1478-position model. Lineage: Archaea; Thermoproteati; Thermoproteota. RNAcentral also lists the same sequence under 1 other name. The record is from RNAcentral.